This 194-nucleotide ribosomal RNA is filed under the name Opecoelidae sp. 016OpH-PtKKr17-01. RNAcentral describes it as "partial large subunit ribosomal RNA". It matches the Rfam family "Bacterial large subunit ribosomal RNA", at positions 2270 to 2596 of the family's 2925-position model. The record is from RNAcentral. Lineage: Eukaryota; Metazoa; Platyhelminthes; Trematoda; Plagiorchiida; Opecoelidae.
UACUUGGGGCAAGGGCAUAUGUCUUAUAUGUUUUUUGAUCCUUUGUGGAAAAAGGUUUAAGUUACCUCGGGGAUAACUAGGUAAGAGACGAGGAGAGAUCAUAUCGGUUCGUCUGUUUGCCAUCUCGAUGUUGGCUUGGGGUUAGCGUGGGGAUGUAGAGGUUCCUAUGUAAGGUCUGUUCGACCGCAAAUCCC